AAGAAUAAAAAGGGACGCUUUUGUUAGUAAGGAGAAAAGGUUUGAGCACAUUCUGGAAAACCUUCUUCCUUUGUUGCUCUCUCCUCCAGCCGAGAGAGAUGAAGAAAUUCCUCUCCUUUAGCUCUUAAACUUCCAAAAAGAAAAUUAAGGAAGAGAAAUUUAGUUUCUUUUCCUCUAUUUGUGAAGAUUAGUACAAAUAUAGAAGAGAAGGACAAGGUGAUUACUGAACAAGUUGGCGAACACCAUGGGAGUUGAAUAUCACGAAAUUAUGUUGAGGUGGUGUAGGGUUGACCAAUUGGGUUUCGAGUUGCAGCUUUAUUUUGGACUAAUAGAAGGGAGUCCAGACGUAUAUCUUUUGGGUGAGCUACCAAAGUAUUUGUAUAGUUAGUCUUAGUUUGUAAAUGAUCUUUUUGUUGCGUUGUAGACUAAAAAGGUGUAGGCCACAAUGGGUUAGUGUCUUUACUUACCUGGGCAAUGAAAACUAUGUAUAUAUGGUCACUUGUCUUUUGGCUUGUAUAAAUUAUGCUUAUGUACAUUUUCAUCAAAUGACCUGAACAUGUUUUUCUUGUAAGAAGCUUUGAAGGUCUUUUGUGAACUUAUUAUAAUAUGUAAGGCUUAAUGAAUUGCCUUUGGAGA
RNAcentral lists this small RNA (636 nucleotides) under Malus domestica (apple). Its description in RNAcentral is "sRNA MD07G0066500". The record is from RNAcentral. Lineage: Eukaryota; Viridiplantae; Streptophyta; Magnoliopsida; Rosales; Rosaceae.